RNAcentral lists this ribosomal RNA (497 nucleotides) under uncultured bacterium. RNAcentral describes it as "partial 16S ribosomal RNA". It matches the Rfam family "Bacterial small subunit ribosomal RNA", at positions 28 to 507 of the family's 1533-position model. The record is from RNAcentral.
GAUGAACGCUGGCGGCGUGCCUAAUACAUGCAAGUCGAGCGAACAGACGAGGAGCUUGCUCCUCUGACGUUAGCGGCGGACGGGUGAGUAACACGUGGAUAACCUACCUAUAAGACUGGGAUAACUUCGGGAAACCGGAGCUAAUACCGGAUAAUAUAUUGAACCGCAUGGUUCAAUAGUGAAAGACGGUUUUGCUGUCACUUAUAGAUGGAUCCGCGCCGCAUUAGCUAGUUGGUAAGGUAACGGCUUACCAAGGCAACGAUGCGUAGCCGACCUGAGAGGGUGAUCGGCCACACUGGAACUGAGACACGGUCCAGACUCCUACGGGGGGCAGCAGUAGGGAAUCUUCCGCAAUGGGCGAAAGCCUGACGGAGCAACGCCGCGUGAGGGAUGAAGGUCUUCGGAUCGUAAAACUCUGUUAUUAGGGAAGAACAAAUGUGUAAGUAACUAUGCACGUCUUGACGGUACCUAAUCAGAAAGCCACGGCUAACUACGUG